AAUGAACGCUGGCGGCAUGCCUAACACAUGCAAGUCGAACGAAGGCUUCGGCCUUAGUGGCGCACGGGUGCGUAACGCGUGGGAAUCUGCCCCUUGGUUCGGAAUAACAGUUAGAAAUGACUGCUAAUACCGGAUGACGACGUAAGUCCAAAGAUUUAUCGCCGAGGGAUGAGCCCGCGUAGGAUUAGCUAGUUGGUGUGGUAAGAGCGCACCAAGGCGACGAUCCUUAGCUGGUCUGAGAGGAUGAUCAGCCACACUGGGACUGAGACACGGCCCAGACUCCUACGGGAGGCAGCAGUGGGGAAUAUUGGACAAUGGGCGAAAGCCUGAUCCAGCAAUGCCGCGUGAGUGAUGAAGGCCUUAGGGUUGUAAAGCUCUUUUACCCGGGAUGAUAAUGACAGUACCGGGAGAAUAAGCUCCGGCUAACUCC
Molecule: ribosomal RNA, 430 nt
Filed under: uncultured Alphaproteobacteria bacterium
Lineage: Bacteria; Pseudomonadati; Pseudomonadota; Alphaproteobacteria
Description: bacterial SSU rRNA
Rfam family: Bacterial small subunit ribosomal RNA
Source: RNAcentral